UUUUUUUUUUUUUUUUUUUUUUUUUUUUUUUUUUUUUUUC
This 40-nucleotide non-coding RNA is filed under the name Alexandrium minutum. The record is from RNAcentral. Lineage: Eukaryota; Dinophyceae; Gonyaulacales; Pyrocystaceae.